UACGUAGGGGGCAAGCGUUGUCCGGAAUUAUUGGGCGUAAAGAGCGUGUAGGCGGCCAGAUAAGUCCGCUGUGAAAUCUCGAGGCUCAACUUCGAGCUGUCGGUGGAAACUGUCUGGCUAGAGUCCGGAAGAGGAGAAUGGAAUUCCUGGUGUAGCGGUGAAAUGCGCAGAUAUCAGGAAGAACACCCGUGGCGAAGGCGACUUUCUGGUCUGUAACUGACGCUGAUGUGCGAAAGCGUGGGUAUCAAACAGG
Molecule: ribosomal RNA, 253 nt
Filed under: uncultured bacterium
Lineage: Bacteria
Description: partial 16S ribosomal RNA
Rfam family: Bacterial small subunit ribosomal RNA
Source: RNAcentral